Molecule: ribosomal RNA, 1093 nt
Filed under: Hanseniaspora uvarum DSM 2768
Lineage: Eukaryota; Fungi; Ascomycota; Saccharomycetes; Saccharomycodales; Saccharomycodaceae
Description: SSU rRNA
Rfam family: Eukaryotic small subunit ribosomal RNA
Source: RNAcentral
UCUGGUUGAUCCUGCCAGUAGUCAUAUGCUUGUCUCAAAGAUUAAGCCAUGCAUGUCUAAGUAUAAGCAAUUUAUACAGUGAAACUGCGAAUGGCUCAUUAAAUCAGUUAUCGUUUAUUUGAUAGUUUCUUUACUACAUGGAAUACCUGUGGUAAUUCUAGAGCUAAUACAUGCUUAAAAUCCCAACUUACGAAGGGAUGUAUUUAUUAGAUAAAAAAUCAAUGUCUUCGGACUUCUGAUGAUUCAUAAUAACUUUUCGAAUCGCAUGGCUUUAUGCUGGCGAUGGUUCAUUCAAAUUUCUGCCCUAUCAACUUUUGAUGGUAGGAUAGUGGCCUACCAUGGUUUCAACGGGUAACGGGGAAUAAGGGUUCGAUUCCGGAGAGGGAGCCUGAGAAACGGCUACCACAUCCAAGGAAGGCAGCAGGCGCGCAAAUUACCCAAUCCUAAUUCAGGGAGGUAGUGACAAUAAAUAACGAUACAGGGCUUUAUGUCUUGUAAUUGGAAUGAGUACAAUUUAAAUACCUUAACGAGGAACAAUUGGAGGGCAAGUCUGGUGCCAGCAGCCGCGGUAAUUCCAGCUCCAAUAGCGUAUAUUAAAGUUGUUGCAGUUAAAAAGCUCGUAGUUGAACUUUGGGCUUGGAGAAUCGGUCCAACUUUGUUGUGUACUGUCUUCUCCAGGUCUUUCCUUCUGGUUCUCAUUUGGGGUUUACUCCAUUUGUUGAUCCAGGUAUUUUUACUUUGAAAAAAUUAGAGUGUUCAAAGCAGGCGUUUUGCUCGAAUAUAUUAGCAUGGAAUAAUAGAAUAGGACGAUUGGUUCUAUUUUGUUGGUUUCUAGGACCAUCGUAAUGAUUAAUAGGGACGGUCGGGGGCAUCAGUAUUCAGUUGUCAGAGGUGAAAUUCUUGGAUUUACUGAAGACUAACUACUGCGAAAGCAUUUGUCAAGGACGUUUUCAUUAAUCAAGAACGAAAGUUAGGGGAUCGAAGAUGAUCAGAUACCGUCGUAGUCUUAACCAUAAACUAUGCCGACUAGGGAUCGGGCGGUGCCUUUUAUUGGCCCACUCGGCACCUUACGAGAAAUCAAAGUUUUUGGGUU